Long non-coding RNA from Odocoileus virginianus texanus, 665 nucleotides. RefSeq lists it as uncharacterized. NCBI's taxonomy places the organism in Eukaryota, Metazoa, Chordata, Mammalia, Artiodactyla, Cervidae. The record is from RefSeq and is a predicted model, not a curated record.
CUCCAAACAAGACCAGUGGGUACACAGACACCAUGCUGCAGUCUCGGAUGAACACGCGACUCGUUUUGAUCUUCUCGUGGUACACCAGAACAUAAGCUCCCUGAGGGCAGAGACCGUGUCUCCCUAGCUCAUCUGCUGUCCUUCAUGGCCUACAACAGUGCCUGGCACAAAGGUGGUGGCAGCAUCUGAAAAAUGGACUACAUUCACAGAGGAUCCAUUCCAAGAAGCCCACAAUUACUUUCAAGAUCUCUGCAAAGCAGUUAUAAAGACAGUGUUCCUAAGGAUCAGUGGAGAGAAAGAUUCUGGUUUGUGAAAUUUCCAGAAAGUAUUAACUGCACUAAGAGUGACAUCAGGUUCAUCUUGAAUUGUUCUUCCUAUAGUUAAAUAUAAAACUAUCCUUGGUUUGAAAAAGGCUGGUCUAAUUAAGAAGACAUUACUGGAAAGUCUGCUCUAUCUCUGAUGGACUCACCAAAAAUAAAUGUAAAUAAAAAACAGAAGCAACAAGAAGCAGAAAAACCCUUAUUUUUAUGAGUGUUAGUUGACAUUUGUGGAAAGAAGAAAAUCAAGAAUGCCACUAACCUAUUGCUCCUAGGGCUUAAGUGAAGAAGGCCUACAGGUAUUCCUCGGGUAAUAGAUUAAGGAUAUGAUCAUUAAAGAGAAAUAAG